This 253-nucleotide ribosomal RNA is filed under the name uncultured bacterium. Its description in RNAcentral is "partial 16S ribosomal RNA". It matches the Rfam family "Bacterial small subunit ribosomal RNA", at positions 524 to 776 of the family's 1533-position model. The record is from RNAcentral.
UACAGAGGGUGCUAGCGUUGUUCGGAAUCAUUGGGCGUAAAGGGUGCGUAGGCGGUCCUAUAAGUCAGUUGUGAAAUACGGCAGCUUAACUGUCGAGGUGCAAUUGAUACUGCAGGACUUGAGUACAGACGAGGUAGGCGGAAUUGACGGUGUAGCGGUGAAAUGCUUAGAUAUCGUCAAGAACACCGAUAGCGAAGGCAGCUUACUAGACUGUAACUGACGCUGAUGCACGAAAGUGUGGGGAUCAAACAGG